RNAcentral lists this ribosomal RNA (253 nucleotides) under uncultured bacterium. RNAcentral describes it as "partial 16S ribosomal RNA". It matches the Rfam family "Bacterial small subunit ribosomal RNA", at positions 524 to 776 of the family's 1533-position model. The record is from RNAcentral.
UACGGGGGGGGCAAGCGUUGUUCGGAAUUACUGGGCGUAAAGGGCUCGUAGGCGGCCAACUAAGUCACACGUGAAAUCCCCCGGCUUAACCUGGGAACUGCGUCUGAUACUGGGAGGCUUGAGUAUGGGAGAGGGAUGUAGAAUUCCAGGUGUAGCGGUGAAAUGCGUAGAUAUCUGGAGGAAUACCGGUGGCGAAGGCGGCAUCCUGGACCAUAACUGACGCUGAGGCGCGAAAGCUAGGGGAGCAAACGGG